RNAcentral lists this transfer RNA (69 nucleotides) under Marmota marmota marmota (Alpine marmot). It matches the Rfam family "tRNA". From Rfam's summary of the family: Transfer RNA (tRNA) molecules are approximately 80 nucleotides in length. Their secondary structure includes four short double-helical elements and three loops (D, anti-codon, and T loops). Further hydrogen bonds mediate the characteristic L-shaped molecular structure. tRNAs have two regions of fundamental functional importance: the anti-codon, which is responsible for specific mRNA codon recognition, and the 3' end, to which the tRNAs corresponding amino acid is attached (by aminoacyl-tRNA synthetases). tRNAs cope with the degeneracy of the genetic code in two manners: having more than one tRNA (with a specific anti-codon) for a particular amino acid; and 'wobble' base-pairing, i.e. permitting non-standard base-pairing at the 3rd anti-codon position. The record is from Rfam by way of RNAcentral. RNAcentral also lists the same sequence under 3 other names. Lineage: Eukaryota; Metazoa; Chordata; Mammalia; Rodentia; Sciuridae.
GGGGUUGUGGCUCAGAGGUAGAGUUCUUGCCUAGCAUGCAUGAGGCACUGGGUUCAAUCCUUAGCACCA